Pan troglodytes (chimpanzee) is the source of this 2495-nucleotide long non-coding RNA. RefSeq lists it as uncharacterized. NCBI's taxonomy places the organism in Eukaryota, Metazoa, Chordata, Mammalia, Primates, Hominidae. The transcript has 2 exons. The record is from RefSeq and is a predicted model, not a curated record.
GAGGCUACACAGGGCUCUGACAGAAGAACACGGCCAGGGGACUUACUGAGAGGUCCACAACUGUCUUGAUGGCCUUUUCUUUUCUCUUUAUGAAGUCAUCAUCCUACAAGACAAAACAGAGCGAUUAAACAAAUCCCAAGGGAAAAUUAAAACUCAAGUGGACCACUCAGAUAUCUGUCUUAUAAAUUGACUUCUCAUCUCAUCACUACUUUGCCUGACGAAGUCUCAAUUUUCGAACAAAUUGUAAUAUAUUCUCCAUGGGAAAAGGCUACAAACCCUGCAGAUGGCUCCAACAUAGAUCCCUACACAGCCAGUAAGAAAAAGGGGGUCAUAAGGAAUAGUGCUUAAGACAAGAGUUCUCAUUUCAAAUCCUCUUAAGCACUGAAACCUCAGCUCGUUUCACCAGCCACUGGGGAAGAAAGUGAAAAGACAUGAGUUGCUAAGGACAACAUCCCACUGCAGUGAAGGCCAGUUCAGACAUGGCCCAACUCAUGAACUCAAAUCAGCAUAGUUGAACUGACUAGGUGAUAAGAAGCUAUCAACACAUGCUGUUCUAUAGGAAAAGCAACCAGCUGGGUAUCCGAGAUGUUAAGAUCCAAUGGGACCUAGUGCUGAGUAGCCGUGCAGGAGCUUUAAAGCCUUACUUCACAUCCUUGAGCCUCAGUUUUCCUUUCUGUAAAAUAUAUCUGUUCCCUUCACCUCACAGACCUAACAUGGGAGUAAAUGAAAUCACAAGUAGUAGAGUGAUUUGUAAACACCUGAAGCACAAAACAAACAGAGCUAUCUCCCAACUUCCUGGUCCUACUGGCAGAUCUUCAUGUAAAUCUCUUUUUCUUGUGCUCCUUACACCGCAGACCAGGGAAAAGGGAGAGAACCACAGAGAAUGCUAGUGUAACUCCCCAUUUGACAAGUGAAAAAAUGUCCAAAAUACUCAGAUUUGACAAUGGUGCAUACUGAGUACGCAGUUGAAGGCAUUGGUUUAUCCUGACAUUCAUAACAUUCUCUCUUAAUCCUCACAAUGUCGGAUGGUACUGGCUGAGUUUUACUGAACCUGAAGUGCCGGGAGACUAUAUAACUUACUCAUGGAUCCAUAGCUAGCCAGCUGCAAAGCUGGGAGUCACAACUCAAGAGACUAUCCUACACCGAAGACUGGACAAAUGGUUUCAUGAAAUGUUUCCCAGCUUUGUUAGGCUGAUACCCAGAAACAGCUGCUCUUCACUUCUCCCAACUGAAAACUCCAGUUAUUAUCAUUAAAACACCACCCUGCAGAAGAUCCACCCGCUCUGAGGGUAAAAACCUGCAGAAGAUCCACCCGCUCUGAGGGUAAGGGUGUAAAGUGUAAAAAGAACCUUUGCUUCUCCUCCCCGGCUCUUCAUUCACUCCCUUUAUUACUGAAGAACAUCACAGAAGGGGUGCCACUCCCUCUCCAGAGAAAGCUACUGCAUCUCAAAAGCAGUUUUGGGAUAGUAGCUGUGUUUCGCCAACAGCAUAUCACACUUGGUGAGGGUUAGCUACCUAGGAAAGCAGGCACAUGGCACAUAACACUGUGCUGCACGGUGUUCCCGCAGAUGUUUGUUCACAAAGCGCAGCCAGCUCAAGUAAAGCACAUGUUUAGGAAAUAGCUGCUCAGAAUAGAGCAAAUAACUCUGAGGAAUAUUCCUUGCUGUCAGUAUCUUCUAUAUAUUUCUACCACUUCACCCCCAAACAGUGACCUCAGGCAAAGACUAAAAUCCAGAAGCAGAGACAGAAGAUCAGAGAGUAUUGAGAACGACUGUAGUCCCUCACCUGUACUCCAUCCCAGUACAACUAAGUGGUCCAGGACAACUAAGGGCCAACUAAGGCAGUUGGCUCAUUGCUCAACUCAAUUCAGCCCUGCUUUCUUUUGAAUUGGGAGACCCAGUUUCUGGCUUUUCACAUCUGCUUCCCUUUCAGAGCUGCUCCCAUUAAUCCCAGAUCUACCCUGAGUUACCGCCUGGCUGGAUCCUGGAGAGCAUGAUCCCAUUAUGAAGGGAAAGCUUGUUGAGUCCUAACAGAUGUUUUGGAGUUUCCAGCAUGAAAGGCUAUAGAGGGAAACUCUUGGACAGUCUAGCUCUGCCACAGGUUCCCUAGCACCCAAGAAAAAUACUGACCUUCACAGGAGUCACAUGUCCAACCCAAGAGAAAAAGAUAUGAUCUAGAACUACCAGGGGCCAGAAAUUAGAUCUGCUUUUUUCUUGGCUGCAUCCAGAGAAAGUUACUACAGCUUUGCUAAAAUGGUGUGAACACGGAUGAUGGGCUUCUAGAAUCACAUAAGAGAAGUAGGUCAAUGGCUUACAACUGCUGGCCGGUGAUUAUUCUUUCACGAGUGCCCAGGGGGAAAACAAAACAAACAAACAAAAACAGGCAAAAGCUACAGGCACAUGGUGAGUUUCAUCAUAGUUAUAUGUAUUUAAUUUCAAGGACUGCUUUUUUUUGAGUUUGAGAAUUAAAUGGCCAUUAUUUUAUGAAAUGAUAAA